RNAcentral lists this ribosomal RNA (600 nucleotides) under uncultured bacterium. Its description in RNAcentral is "bacterial SSU rRNA". It matches the Rfam family "Bacterial small subunit ribosomal RNA", at positions 747 to 1351 of the family's 1533-position model. The record is from RNAcentral.
UCAUGCUCGAAGGUGCGGGUAUCGAACAGGAUUAGAUACCCUGGUAGUCCGCACGGUAAACGAUGGAUGCUCGCUGUCGGCGAUACACUGUCGGCGGCCUAGUGAAAGCAUUAAGCAUCCCACCUGGGGAGUACGCCGGCAACGGUGAAACUCAAAGGAAUUGACGGGGGCCCGCACAAGCGGAGGAACAUGUGGUUUAAUUCGAUGAUACGCGAGGAACCUUACCCGGGCUUGAAUUGCAGGUUUUGGAUCAGAGAUGGUCCUUUCCCUUCGGGGUUCCUGUGAAGGUGCUGCAUGGUUGUCGUCAGCUCGUGCCGUGAGGUGUCGGCUUAAGUGCCAUAACGAGCGCAACCCCUUUCGUCAGUUGCCAUCAGGUCAAGCUGGGCACUCUGGCGACACUGCCACCGCAAGGUGUGAGGAAGGUGGGGAUGACGUCAAAUCAGCACGGCCCUUACGUCCGGGGCUACACACGUGUUACAAUGGGGCAUACAGAGCGUCGGCAUGUCGCAAGACGUGUCUAAUCGUGAAACUGUCCCUCAGUUCGGAUUGGGGUCUGCAACCCGACCCCAUGAAGCUGGAUUCGCUAGUAAUCGCGCAUCA